This 403-nucleotide ribosomal RNA is filed under the name uncultured bacterium. Its description in RNAcentral is "bacterial SSU rRNA". It matches the Rfam family "Bacterial small subunit ribosomal RNA", at positions 355 to 775 of the family's 1533-position model. The record is from RNAcentral.
UUAGGAAUAUUGCGCAAUGGGCGAAAGCCUGACGCAGCGAUGCCGCGUGGGUGAUGAAGGCCUUCGGGUCGUAAAGCCCUUUUCUGGGGGAAGAGCGAGGACGGUACCCCAGGAAUAAGUCUCGGCUAACUACGUGCCAGCAGCCGCGGUAAACGUAGGAGGCUAGCGUUAUCCGGAUUUACUGGGCGUAAAGCGCGCGUAGGUGGCUUUGUAAGUCAGGCGUGAAAUCUCUCGGCUCAACUGGGAGGGGUCGUCUGAGACUGCAAGGCUUGAGGGCGGGAGAGGGAAGUGGAAUUCCCGGUGUAGCGGUGGAAUGCGCAGAUAUCGGGAGGAACACCAGUGGCGAAGGCGGCUUCCUGGCCCGUUCCUGACACUCAAGUGCGAAAGCGUGGGGAGCGAACGG